RNAcentral lists this ribosomal RNA (448 nucleotides) under uncultured organism. Its description in RNAcentral is "partial 16S ribosomal RNA". It matches the Rfam family "Bacterial small subunit ribosomal RNA", at positions 333 to 797 of the family's 1533-position model. The record is from RNAcentral.
UCACUCCUACGGGAGGCAGCAGUGGGGAAUAUUGGACAAUGGGCGCAAGCCUGAUCCAGCCAUGCCGCGUGAGUGAUGAAGGCCCUAGGGUUGUAAAGCUCUUUCACCGGUGAAGAUAAUGACGGUAACCGGAGAAGAAGCCCCGGCUAACUUCGUGCCAGCAGCCGCGGUAAUACGAAGGGGGCUAGCGUUGUUCGGAUUUACUGGGCGUAAAGCGCACGUAGGCGGACUAUUAAGUCAGGGGUGAAAUCCCGGGGCUCAACCCCGGAACUGCCUUUGAUACUGGUAGUCUUGAGUUCGAGAGAGGUGAGUGGAAUUCCGAGUGUAGAGGUGAAAUUCGUAGAUAUUCGGAGGAACACCAGUGGCGAAGGCGGCUCACUGGCUCGAUACUGACGCUGAGGUGCGAAAGCGUGGGGAGCAAACAGGAUUAGAAACCCCUGUAGUCCCA